ACUACGGAGGGUCCGAGCGUUAAGUCGGAAUUACUGGGGCGUAAAGGCGUGCGCAGGCGGUUUAUUAAGUCGAGAUGUGAAAGCCCCUGGGCUCAACCUAGGAAUAGCAUUUCGAACUGGCGAACUAGAGUCUUGUAGAGGGGGUAGAAUUCCAGGUGUAGCGGUGAAAUGCGUAGAGAUCUGGAGGAAUACCGGUGGCGAAGGCGGCCCCCUGGACAAAGACUGACGCUCAGGCACGAAAGCGUGGGGAGCAAACAGGAUUAGAUACCCGCGUAGU
RNAcentral lists this ribosomal RNA (277 nucleotides) under uncultured bacterium. RNAcentral describes it as "partial 16S ribosomal RNA". It matches the Rfam family "Bacterial small subunit ribosomal RNA", at positions 522 to 794 of the family's 1533-position model. The record is from RNAcentral.